CAUGUAAGUGUCCAGAUUGUAGAUGCUUCAUUGCGUAGGAUAUAAGUCCUGAAACGAUUUGCUGACAAAGAAGAAUCAUUUCCUAGUUUCUGAGUCAAGGAAAAUUGGCUCUCUUGAUUUCCCAAUGAUGGCUCAAAUGAUCUUUUAUGCUGUUGACAUACCAGAAGACUUCCCUUUUUAGAUUGUUGAUAAUCCUGGUGAUCAAGCAAUUUUUCAUGGUUCUUCCAAUCGAAAUUUAUGCAGGUUAAGUAGAAUGAUGAGCUGGUUAAUAAUUCUUUUAUUUUUUCAUUUCUCUAGCAUAGAUUUUUAGA
Molecule: long non-coding RNA, 311 nt
Organism: Zingiber officinale
Lineage: Eukaryota; Viridiplantae; Streptophyta; Magnoliopsida; Zingiberales; Zingiberaceae
Exons: 3
Source: RefSeq, a predicted model, not a curated record